RNAcentral lists this ribosomal RNA (405 nucleotides) under uncultured bacterium. RNAcentral's name for it is "bacterial SSU rRNA". It matches the Rfam family "Bacterial small subunit ribosomal RNA", at positions 917 to 1344 of the family's 1533-position model. The record is from RNAcentral.
GGGCCCGCACAAGCGGUGGAGUAUGUGGUUUAAUUCGAUGCAACGCGAAGAACCUUACCAGGGUUUGACAUCCUGCGAAUCUCUUGGAAACAGGAGAGUGCCUUCGGGAACGCAGUGACAGGUGGUGCAUGGCUGUCGUCAGCUCGUGUCGUGAGAUGUUGGGUUAAGUCCCGCAACGAGCGCAACCCACGUCUUUAGUUGCCAGCAGUUCGGCUGGGCACUCUAGAGAAACUGCCUGGGAUGACCAGGAGGAAGGUGGGGACGACGUCAAGUCCUCAUGGCCCUUACGGGAUGGGCUACACACGUGCUACAAUGGCAGUGACAAUGGGUUAAUCCCCAAAAGCUGUCUCAGUUCGGAUUGAGGUCUGAAACUCGACCUCAUGAAGUCGGAAUCGCUAGUAAUCG